This 127-nucleotide small nuclear RNA is filed under the name Dendronephthya gigantea. RNAcentral describes it as "U5 spliceosomal RNA". It matches the Rfam family "U5 spliceosomal RNA". From Rfam's summary of the family: U5 RNA is a component of both types of known spliceosome. The precise function of this molecule is unknown, though it is known that the 5' loop is required for splice site selection and p220 binding, and that both the 3' stem-loop and the Sm site are important for Sm protein binding and cap methylation. The record is from RNAcentral. Lineage: Eukaryota; Metazoa; Cnidaria; Anthozoa; Malacalcyonacea; Nephtheidae.
AAGCCUUGGUUCUCCUUCAUUCACACGAAAAAAUCUUUCGCCUUUUACUAAAGAUUUCCGUGGAGGAGAACAACACAAUGGGCCUAAGGGUAUUUUUUGUCGCCCGCCGGAUUUUCCAAAGGCGGGU